AGUCGCACGAGAAGGGACUUCGGUCCUGAGUACAGUGGCGCACGGGUGAGUAACACGUGAAUCAUCUACCUUCGAGUGGGGAAUAACUGAGAGAAAUCUUAGCUAAUACCGCAUAAUACCUACGGGUCAAAGCAGCAAUGCGCUUGAAGAGGAGUUCGCGGCAGAUUAGUUAGUUGGCAGGGUAAUGGCCUACCAAGACGAUGAUCUGUAUCCGGCCUGAGAGGGCGCACGGACACACUGGAACUGAAACACGGUCCAGACUCCUACGGGAGGCAGCAGUGGGGAAUUUUGCGCAAUGGGGGAAACCCUGACGCAGCAACGCCGCGUGGAGGAUGAAAUCCCUUGGGAUGUAAACUCCUUUCGAUAGGGAAGAUAAUGACGGUACCUAUAGAAGAAGCCCCGGCUAACUUCGUGCCAGCAGCCGCGGUAAUACGGGGGGGGCAAGCGUUGUUCGGAAUUAUUGGGCGUAAAGGGUGCGUAGGCGGUUUGACAAGUCUUAUGUGAAAUCUUCGGGCUCAACCCGAAGUCUGCAUGGGAAACUGUCGGGCUUGAGUAUGGGAGAGGUGAGUGGAAUUUCCGGUGUAGCGGUGAAAUGCGUAGAUAUCGGAAGGAACACCUGUGGCGAAAGCGGCUCACUGGACCAUAACUGACGCUGAUGCACGAA
RNAcentral lists this ribosomal RNA (664 nucleotides) under uncultured bacterium. RNAcentral's name for it is "bacterial SSU rRNA". It matches the Rfam family "Bacterial small subunit ribosomal RNA", at positions 60 to 757 of the family's 1533-position model. The record is from RNAcentral.